Molecule: ribosomal RNA, 468 nt
Filed under: uncultured bacterium
Lineage: Bacteria
Description: partial 16S ribosomal RNA
Rfam family: Bacterial small subunit ribosomal RNA
Source: RNAcentral
GACGAACGCUGGCGGCGUGCUUAACACAUGCAAGUCGAACGGAAAGGCCCUACUUUGGUCGGGUGCUCGAAUGGCGAACGGGUGAGUAACGCGUGGGUAACCUGCCUUUGAGUUGGGGAUAACUACAGGAAACUAUGGCUAAUACCGGAUAAGAGUAGCUGCUGCAUGGUGUGGGAUGAAAAGGUGCUGCGGUUGGGGUAGCAGGCGCGCCUGAUCUGCUUGUUGGUGGGGUAGUGGAAUACCAAGGCGAUGACGGGUAGCCAGCCUGAGAGGGUGACCGGCCACAGUGGGACUGAGAAACGGCCCAGACUGCUACGGGAGGCAGCAGUGGGGAAUAUUGCACAAUGGGCGGAAGCCUGAUGCAGCGACGCCGCGUGGUGGAUGACGGCCUUCGGGUUGUAAACCGUUUUCGCCUGGGACGAAGCGUGAGUGACGGUAACUGGUAAAGAAGCGCCGGCUAACUACGUG